GAUGAAGAACGCAGCGAAAUGCGAUAAGUAGUGUGAAUUGCAGAAUUCAGUGAAUCAUCGAAUCUUUGAACGCACAUUGCGCCCCUUGGUAUCCCGAGGGGCAUGCCUGUUCGAGCGUCAUUUCACCACUCAAGCCUGGCUUGGUGUUGGGCGACGUCCUCUUUGGGGACGCGCCUCGAAACGCUCGGCGGCGUGGCACCGGCUUUAAGCGUAGCAGAAUCUUUCGCUUUGGAGGUCGGGGCCCCGUCUGCCGGAAGACCUGCUCGCAAGGUUGACCUCGGAUCAGGCAGGGAUACCCGCUGAACUUAAGCAUAUCAAUAAGCGGAGGA
RNAcentral lists this unclassified non-coding RNA (329 nucleotides) under soil metagenome. Its description in RNAcentral is "partial contains 5.8S ribosomal RNA, internal transcribed spacer 2, and large subunit ribosomal RNA". The stretch from base 1 to 120 matches the Rfam family "5.8S ribosomal RNA", at positions 35 to 154 of the family's 154-position model. The record is from RNAcentral.